GCCCGGCGCGGUGGUGCGCGCCUAUAGUCAUAGCUACUCUGGAGGCUGAGGCAGGAGGAUCGCUUGAGUCCAGGAGUUCUGGGCUGCAGUGCGCUAUGCCGAUCGGGUGUCUGCACUAAGUUCGGCAUCAAUAUGGUGACCUCCCGGGAGCGGGGGACCACCAGGUUGCCUAAGGAGGGGUGAACCGGCCCAGGUCGGAAAUGGCAGUUGGUCUGUUGGGCCACCACCCUUUGACCUCCCUUUCUGUCCCUGUUCUGGGUGGAAGUGAUGGUCUUCCAUU
This 280-nucleotide signal recognition particle RNA is filed under the name Castor canadensis (American beaver). RNAcentral's name for it is "Metazoan signal recognition particle RNA (ENSCCNG00000018359.1)". It matches the Rfam family "Metazoan signal recognition particle RNA". Rfam says of the family: The signal recognition particle (SRP) is a universally conserved ribonucleoprotein. It is involved in the co-translational targeting of proteins to membranes. The record is from RNAcentral. Lineage: Eukaryota; Metazoa; Chordata; Mammalia; Rodentia; Castoridae.